This 78-nucleotide transfer RNA is filed under the name Nippostrongylus brasiliensis. It matches the Rfam family "tRNA". Rfam says of the family: Transfer RNA (tRNA) molecules are approximately 80 nucleotides in length. Their secondary structure includes four short double-helical elements and three loops (D, anti-codon, and T loops). Lineage: Eukaryota; Metazoa; Nematoda; Chromadorea; Rhabditida; Heligmosomidae. The record is from Rfam by way of RNAcentral.
GGCCUGGUAGUGUAAUGGUCAUAGAUCAUAGUGAGCCCGAUACAUCCCGAGGCGUGGGUUCGAUUCCCACCUGAGCCG